This 710-nucleotide ribosomal RNA is filed under the name uncultured Ascomycota. RNAcentral describes it as "LSU rRNA". It matches the Rfam family "Eukaryotic large subunit ribosomal RNA", at positions 399 to 1132 of the family's 3401-position model. Lineage: Eukaryota; Fungi; Ascomycota. The record is from RNAcentral.
GUGAAAUUGUUGAAAGGGAAGCGCUUGCAGCCAGACGUGCCCGUAGUUGCUCAUCGGGGGUUCUCCCCCGUGUACUCUUCUAUGGGCAGGCCAGCAUCAGUCCGGGCGGUUGGAGAAAGACCUGUGUCAUGUAGCUGUUUUCGGGCAGUGUUAUAGGGCAGGUGGAAUGCAACCAGCCUGGACUGAGGUCCGCGCAUCUGCUAGGAUGCUGGCGUAAUGGCUGUAAGCGGCCCGUCUUGAAACACGGACCAAGGAGUCUAACAUCUAUGCGAGUGUUUGGGUGUCGAGCCCGAGCGCGUAAUGAAAGUGAACGGAGGUGGGAACCUUUUAGGUGCACCAUCGACCGAUCCUGAUGUCUUCGGAUGGAUUUGAGUAAGAGCAUAGCUGUUGGGACCCGAAAGAUGGUGAACUAUGCCUGAAUAGGGUGAAGCCAGAGGAAACUCUGGUGGAGGCUCGCAGCGGUUCUGACGUGCAAAUCGAUCGUCAAAUUUGGGCAUAGGGGCGAAAGACUAAUCGAACUAUCUAGUAGCUGGUUCCUGCCGAAGUUUCCCUCAGGAUAGCAGUAACGUUUUCAGUUUUAUGAGGUAAAGCGAAUGAUUAGAGGCCUGGGGGUUGAAACAACCUUCACCUAUUCUCAAACUUUAAAUAUGUAAGAAGUCCUUGUUUCUUAAUUGAACGUGGACAUUUGAAUGUAUCGUUACUAGUGGGCC